CCUACGGGAGGCUGCAGUGGGGAAUAUUGGGCAAUGGGCGCAAGCCUGACCCAGCAACGCCGCGUGAGGGAAGAAGGCUUUCGGGUUGUAAACUUCUUUUAAGAGGGAAGAACAGAAGACGUUACCUCUUGAAUAAGCCACGGCUAACUACGUGCCAGCAGCCGCGGUAAUCCGUAGGUGGCAAGCGUUUUCCGGAUUUACUGGGUGUAAAGGGCGUGUAGCCGGGCUGACAAGUCAGAUGUGAAAUCCGGGGGCUCAACCCCCGAACUGCAUUUGAAACUGUUGGUCUUGAGGAUAGGAGAGGCAGGCGGAAUUCCUAGUGUAGCGGUGAAAUGCGUAGAUAUUAGGAGGAACACCAGUGGCGAAGGCGGCCUGCUGGACGACAACUGACGGUGAGGCGCGAAAGCGUGGGGAGCAAACAGGAUUAGAUACCCGAGUAGUC
This 442-nucleotide ribosomal RNA is filed under the name uncultured bacterium. Its description in RNAcentral is "partial 16S ribosomal RNA". It matches the Rfam family "Bacterial small subunit ribosomal RNA", at positions 338 to 795 of the family's 1533-position model. The record is from RNAcentral.